AAAUGGGAGGUGGGAUUUGAGAAAUGGGGUUUAGAGGAUUCGGAGCAUUACAGCAAGCAGGUGAGCGACCAAACGGCCCCAAAAUGGCACCAAAAUGGCCCAAAAUGGCACGGAAAUGGCCCAAAAUGGCACCAAAAUGGCACCAAACGGCCCCAAAAUGGCCCCAGAUGGCUCCAAAAUGGCCCAAAAUGGCCCCAGAAUGGGAGGUGGGAUUUGAGAAAUGGGGUUUAGAGGAUUCUGAGCACUACAACAAGCAGGUGAGCGACCACAACGGCCCCAAAACGACCCCAAAAUGGCACCAAAAUGGCCCAAAAUGGCACCAAAAUGGCACCAAAUGGCACCAAACCACCCCAAAACAGCCCAAAACGGCACCAAAAUGGCCCAAAAUGGCUCCAAAAUGGCCCCAAAUAGGGA
This 414-nucleotide long non-coding RNA is filed under the name Phasianus colchicus (ring-necked pheasant). RNAcentral's name for it is "lncRNA (ENSPCLG00000017722.1)". The record is from RNAcentral. Lineage: Eukaryota; Metazoa; Chordata; Aves; Galliformes; Phasianidae.